Molecule: ribosomal RNA, 432 nt
Filed under: uncultured bacterium
Lineage: Bacteria
Description: partial 16S ribosomal RNA
Rfam family: Bacterial small subunit ribosomal RNA
Source: RNAcentral
AACGAACGCUGGCGGCAUGCCUAACACAUGCAAGUCGAACGAGACCUUCGGGUCUAGUGGCGCACGGGUGCGUAACGCGUGGGAAUCUGCCCUUGGGUUCGGAAUAACAGUUGGAAACGACUGCUAAUACCGGAUGAUGACGUAAGUCCAAAGAUUUAUCGCCCCAGGAUGAGCCCGCGUAGGAUUAGCUAGUUGGUGAGGUAAAGGCUAACCAAGGCGACGAUCCUUAGCUGGUCUGAGAGGAUGAUCAGCCACACUGGGACUGAGACACGGCCCAGACUCCUACGGGAGGCAGCAGUGGGGAAUAUAGGACAAGGAGCGAAAGCCUGAUCCAGCAAUGCCGGGUGAGUGAUGAAGGCCUUAGGGUUGUAAAGCGCUUUUACCCGGGAUGAUAAUGACAGUACCGGGAGAAUAAGCGCCGGCUAACUCCGU